Molecule: ribosomal RNA, 204 nt
Filed under: uncultured bacterium
Lineage: Bacteria
Description: partial 16S ribosomal RNA
Rfam family: Bacterial small subunit ribosomal RNA
Source: RNAcentral
GAUUGCAGGCUGCAACCCGCCUGCAUGAAGUCGGAAUUGCUAGUAAUCGCGGAUCAGCAUGCCGCGGUGAAUACGUUCCCGGGCCUUGUACACACCGCCCGUCACACCAUGGGAGCCGGUAAUACCCGAAGUCAGUAGUCCAACCUCGUGAGGACGCUGCCGAAGGUAGGAUUGGCGACUGGGGUGAAGUCGUAACAAGGUACC